CAGGCACAUUCCUGAUGCUUGCAGUUUCAAACAUGCUGCUGUGGGAGAAAGUUUCAUCCAUUCCUGCAUGUCUUGCGGAAGAGGGUGGCUGCUGGAACCCCAUUGUGGAAACAUUUAACAGUGCCAUGCAGCGAGGUGAAACCCUCCGUAAUCUUGCUGACCAAUUAUAUACAGAGCUUUAUCACAAUCAAUUCUCAUCUGAACAAUUUUUGGCUCUUGUAAGUACCUCACUUAUUUUCAGCUACUUUCCAAUAAUAGUCUCAUGUCAAUGAUAAGACUUUAGAUGAGACAGACAACCUGACAGCUUUUAAACUUCUUAACCCUCACAAUUAUUUAUUAACCUUUCAUGAAUAAGGUAACUAUUUGAAAUAAAUAAGAUAUUCUAAAGUGGAUAUUUAAGUAAAUUAAAUAUUUCAUUAACCAUACAAAGACUAAUCUAAUACAUGGUAUUAAUUAAUACUUUUAUAUUUUGUUGAUGUUGAAUUAACAUAGAAUUUACUGUAAAAUUUUGUGAAACAAAAAACACAAUUUCAUUCUAAAACCAUUAUAAACGUGCACAGCUAUAUUCUUUAAUGUUAAAUUAAUAAAUUUAUAAUUUUGUUGUUGGGUAAGGAAUAUCAUUACCUAUUGACAGAAAAUAGGAAGAUUGAUAAAUAUGCUGAAUAGCUUUAUGCUAAAAUGCUAAACAAUGGUGAUAAGUAAAUCACUUAGUUCUUCAAAAGUUACUCCUUUCAGCGUCUGCC
RNAcentral lists this long non-coding RNA (743 nucleotides) under Rattus norvegicus (Norway rat). RNAcentral's name for it is "long non-coding RNA NONRATT012461". The record is from RNAcentral. Lineage: Eukaryota; Metazoa; Chordata; Mammalia; Rodentia; Muridae.